Molecule: ribosomal RNA, 796 nt
Filed under: uncultured Glomus
Lineage: Eukaryota; Fungi; Glomeromycota; Glomeromycetes; Glomerales; Glomeraceae
Description: bacterial SSU rRNA
Rfam family: Eukaryotic small subunit ribosomal RNA
Source: RNAcentral
CUUUCGAUGGUAGGAUACAGGCCUAGCAUGGUGGUAACGGGUAACGGGUAAUUAGGGUUCCAUUCCGGAGAGGGAGCCUGAGAAACGGCUACCCCAUCCAAGGAAGGCAGCAGGCGCGCAAAUUACCCACUCCCGACACGGGGAAGGAGUGACAAUAAAUAACAAUACGGCGCUCUUUACGCUCUCGUAAUUGGAAUGAGUACUAUUUAAAUCCCUUAACGAGGAACGAUUGGAGGGCCAGUCUGGUGCCAGCAGCCGCGGUAAUUCCCGCUCCAAUAACGUAUAUUAUGGUUGUUGCAGUUAAAAAGCUCGUAAUUGAAUUUCGGGAUUUGCCCAUCGGGCGUGCCUUAAGGGGAAUGAACUGGUGGAAUGAAUUUCUCACCUUCUGGAGAACCGGGAUGUCCUUAAUUGGCUGCCACGAGGAACCAGGACCUUUACUUUGAAAAAAUUAGAGUGUUUAAAGCAUGCAUUUUUGCUUGAAUACAUUAGCAUGAAAUAAUAAAAUAGGACGGCGUGAUUCUAUUUUGUUGCUUUCUACGAUCACCGGAAUGAUUAAUAGGGAUAGUUGGGGGCAUUAUUAUUCGAUUGACAUAAGUGACAUUCUUGGAUUUAUUGAAGACUAACUACUGCGAAAGCGUUUGCCAAGGAUGCUUUCAUUAAUCAAGAACGAUAGUUAAGCGAUCAAAGACGAUCAGAUACCGUCGCAUACUUAUCCAUAAACUAUGCCGACUAUCAGACAGACGAUGUUAAUUUUUUACUGACUCGUUUGCCUACUUACGGCAAACCAGAGUGUUUG